Molecule: long non-coding RNA, 4717 nt
Organism: Erinaceus europaeus (western European hedgehog)
Lineage: Eukaryota; Metazoa; Chordata; Mammalia; Eulipotyphla; Erinaceidae
Exons: 3
Source: RefSeq, a predicted model, not a curated record
UGUGAUGCGCUGAGCAUGGCUCACACCCAGGGGCCUUGACCCAAGUCCCUUUUUGGUGUUCACUGACAAGUCACUGACUUUCAUAUUGACUUGGACUUAAGGACGAACCUGCUCUCCCAGAGUUAAGUUAUGGGGCCAUCACCUCUGAAGCUUCCAUAGUAUAGUGAGUAGAGAUUGCAUGGUGAAUAGGACAUUCUGAGUCUGCAUCCCACUGACAAUACAGUGAACCUUUGGGGGGCAAAACCAGCUCAUCCCUGCCCCCGUGUGUGUUGCUUGUCACCGGUGUCACCUCCCCGGACUACACUUGUGUUCCUCGGAGUAAAUUGAAGAUGUUUACAUGCUUUUGCUAUAGAGAUUCAAAGUGACCAGUUCAGUAAAAGGAAAAAUUAAGAAAAAUUAAUUAAUUUCUUGGCUAGAGAAUUAGAAAUUGAGAGGGAAGAGGGAGGUAAGAGAGGGAGAAGAGAGACACCUACAGACCUGCCCAUACAGGUGGGAUCCAGGGACAUGAACCUGGGUUCUUGAGCACGCAUCUGCUCUACCAAAUAUGCCACCCUCUGGCCCUGAGAGAAUUUCUACAGUGGACUGGCAGCCUAGUAACAUGAGAAGCACCUGUGAGCCCAGGAACAGGGAGAAACUCAGUGGUGCCGAGUUCUCAUGCUUCCUGGGUUCUGUGCUCUGACCCUACAUUUCGGAGGCUGGGAACUCUGGCUCUUCCCCUUUCUUGGGUCCACCACCCUCACUGGAAGGGGCUCUGCAGGGAACUUGGUUAUUCCCAACCACUUCACCAACUAGCUGUAGCUAGAAAGCUACAGCUGUAGUUGUAUUGUGAUGAGUAAUCAGGGACUGGAUGGAUACAGCCUGUUUAAGUCUGAGAUAUAAUCUGUUUAAUUUCAGAAACUUUCCUCGCGAAAGCCAAACACAGCCCAGGACCUGCCUUGGUUUCUGUGUGGCCUGGGGCUAAAUGAAUGUGGGGGCUUGGAGGGAAGCCUGGGGGACAGUGAGGAGCCCAGCCUGGGACUGAGGAGACAGAGAAGGAGGGCAUCUCAAAGAGAAAGAAGAGUCACAGUUACUGAAUACUGAAAACCAGUAACCCCUCUGAUUUCCUCUCCUUCCUCCUCCAAGUGAUAGCAAUUGAAGGUGUCCAGACCAAAUAUUCACUUUUCACAGGUUAGUGGAGGUGGAGGCCUCCCUGGAACCCUUGGCUGAAGCAAGUCAAGUUUGGAGCUAGAAUCUGACUGAUGCUUUGGUGCCGCUCCUGGGCCAAUGAGUGUAAGUUGCUCUGUGGGCUCCUCUCUCCCCACCCCCAACAUACAUGGAUGCAGUUGAAGUCCGCGUCUAAAUAGGUCCAUUUAAAGUGAGGGAAGAAAGGAGACCUGUUUCAUGGAGCUUUUGUGGUAUCCUAGCAACUGGUUCCCCAGGGCUCGGAGCCAGAGGCUGGAGGAGUCAGAAGUAAUGAAUGAGACUCUCUGAAGUGGACUCUUUCCUCAUUCAGGUGUUUUGGCAAAUAGUCAAACUAUUUUCAAAAUGAGGCUAAAAUGAAAUACUCUCAGUUAUAUUUUUGCACAUUGUCUCUAGUCAUGUGCUGCGUUAUGCAUUUUUUUUUCCUUUCAUAUGGAUGAGGUCAUCAAAGCUAAGAAGAAAUAUGGUCCCAGGCUAAGAUGGCCGCUGUGCAGACUGGUGACUGUGCUGCCUCUCCAGCCUCAGGCCUUCUGGUCUUGCACACAGGCUCUCCCCAGCUUUGUCUUGCUGAGCCUGGCUUACUCUGCUAUCUGCUUGCCUCCUGGAGGUCAGGACGCAUCAGGCUCUGCUUUGUCUAGUGUAACUGUACUCAGAGCAAGCUUGCUGGGGGGGUUAUUCUCUUUAAGUUGUUAAACAGGAAUCUGCACGCUUUUCCCAGUGAAGUGCCCCUGUGACACUGCCCUCAGUCAGCCCAGGGGUGGCCAAGCAGUGACAGGGCCGAUGGCCAAACACCAGGAGUGUGGCCAUGGUCUCAGAACCCCUCCUUGGCCUUCCUUUGGCUUUAGCUGCCUGACUCUGGAGUGACACCAUUUCUCUCCUCGUUUUUUAUGUGUUUGUAUUUCAGUUAGUGUUCAAGUGUCACUACUUAAAAUUCCCUUGAAAAUAGGGACAGAACUUUAUGUAAGCAUCCAUUACCACCAGUUCUUACUCUUCUGAGAUCAGACAAGAUCAGGUGUGUUCAGGGUGGGUACGGCCAUAGGGCCCAGUUCUUUUUUUUUUAUUUAAUUUUUAUAAUUUUUAUUUAUAAAAUGGAAAUAUUGACAGGACCAUAGGAUAAGAGGGGUAUAAUUCCACACAAUUCCCACCAUCAGAACUACAUAUCCCAUCCCUGAUAGCUUUCCUAUUCUUUAUCCCUCUGGGAGUAUGGACCCAAGGUCAUUAUGGGAUGCAGAAGGUGGCAGGUCUGGCUUCUGUAAUUGCUUCCCCACUGAACAUGGGCGUUGGCAGGUCGAUCCAUACUCCCAGCCUGUCUCUCUCUUUAAGAUCAAUUCCUUGUUGCUGAUUCAUUUCACUGAUGCCAUUUGCUGAGUCUCAAUUUGUGACAUAACUUGAAUUUUAGGGGAAGGGUGUCACUGAGAAGGCAUAUCAGAAUUACUUGCCUACAUAAUUUUACCUAGCCUUCCAUGGCAGUUUUGAGUUUGGUAUACAAUGAGUUGUGUUUAUUUAGUCACCCAGGUUAUCAGAACAGCAUGGCUUGGAGUCCUUUGUUAUGCCUCACCCCUGCAGCUUCUCUCCCCACCCCACCCCACCCCAGCUUGGAGAUUCACCUGUGGAGUAGCUUCUGGAGUGAGAGCAGAAGUGGGAGGGCCAAGCCCCAUGUGCCCAGGGCACCCUGGCUUCAAAAACAUGAUGUUGAAACAUAGAUUUUCUUACAGGAAAUUAAUCAAUCUUUCUCUCUUUUUCUAUUUGCAUUUGCUUAGUAUAAUAAAAAAGAAUGGUGUCUCUGGGGUCUGUUUAGUUUUUUUUUUUUUUUUUUUGGCCUCCAGAGUUAUUGCUGGGGCUCCAUGCUCCUGGGGUCAUUGCUACAGUUCCAUUGCUCCUGGAGCCAUUUUUUCCCUUUUGCUGCCCUUAUCGUUUAUUAUUGUUGUUAUUACUGUUGCUGUUGUUAUUGCUGUUGUUGUUGUUGGAUAGGACAGAGAGAAAUUGAGAGAGGAGAACACAGAGAGGGAGAGAGAAAGACAGACACCUGCAGACCUGCUUCACUGCUUAUGAAGCGACCCCCCUGCAGGUGGGGAAGCCAGGGACUUGAAUUGUGAUCCUUAUGCGGGUCCUUAGGAUUAGCACCAUAUGUGUUUAACCCUCUGUGCUACCACUUGGCCCCCAGUAUGCUAACUUUUGAGUUGCUAUACUUAAUUCCCAUUGCUACACUGAGUAUGUAUUUUUUUAAGCACUUGAGAGGAUUGGUUGCCAAAGUUUGGCAGAGAGAACCAUAUUUCAGGUAACCCCGUGUCAUGUCAGUCGUUUUGCCUAAAAUGACCAUAGUUAAAUUUGGCAGUGACAGAGAAGAGUCUGGUCAAAGCCUCAGUGUCCGCAGUCAUUCCAGCCCUGCUACACGUUAUAGUUGCCACUAGGUGUUUAUUCUGAGAUCCUCAUUCUUAGCAUGGUGUAUUGUGUUCUCUGUGUUACUCAUUUUUAUUUUAAAAAAUAUAUUUUUUAUUUAUGUAUUGCAGAGAUAGUGAGAAAUCUAGAGGGAAGGACAAAAGAGAGAAAGAUACUUGCAUCACUGCUUCACCACUCAUGAAGCUUUCUCUCUGCAGGUGGGAACUAGGGGCUUGAAUCUCAUUCCUUGUGCAUUUUGACUUGUGUGUUCACUACUUAGUUUUCUAGAACCAGGAUAUUAAGAAAAAGCUUCAUUGGACAAGUCUUUGAUUCUGUAACAGGUGGUCAUGAGGUCUCUGCUGGGUCUGUAGACAAAUGGCCUUGGAGAGACCAAGUAAGGGGAGAUGGGACCCCACCCCCAGGCUAAUGGAGCGGGGGGGGGGGGGGAGUGUGAAGGGUUAUCUUCUGCGUGCUGUGGGCAGACAGGAUCCACCAGGGAUCAGCACCUCUCUCCCAUUUGUGUCCUCUGAUCUCCCUGAGGGACUUGAGGCAGUUCUGGGCCUGCUCAGACUGGCACGGGCUGCUGGACAAGGGCAGAGGCUGGCAGCCAGGGCAAAGGGUAGGCUUGUGGUGGUUUGACGAAUCAUCUCCCAGAAAACACUUGCUUUCACUGCCACCGCCACCACCUCUGUGCUGAGCAUCUUCUCUGGGAUAGAGAUGAUUGCACCCAGCGCCAAGACUCAGCCCCUGUCCUCCCCAAGGAGCCCACUUCGUCCUGUCCUAUCAGAGGCGGUUUCUGUGAGCUGCCAGGAAAGACUGUGUGGGCACAGACACGUCUUUUCUUGGGGUUAUUUUAGUACCCCAGAAGCAGGUCACAUGCUGUGAGAAGGGCUCAUAGAUGUUUCCACAUGACUGAGCUUCACAUUUAUUUGUAUCUUUGUUUAUUUUGCCUCCAGGACUGUCACUGGGGCUCAGUGCUGGCACUAUGAAUCCACUGUUCCUGGUGGCCAUUUUUUCCAUUUUAUUGGACAGGACAGAGAAAUUAAGAAGGGAGGGGGAGGCAGGGGGGGAUACACAGACACUUGCAGACCUGCUUUACCUCUUGUGCAACUUCCCUCCUACAGGUGGUGCGUAGGGGCUUGAACCCAGAUCCCUGUGC